UGAAGCCUGAGAUCUCGUUCCUA
RNAcentral lists this non-coding RNA (23 nucleotides) under Arabidopsis thaliana (thale cress). The record is from RNAcentral. Lineage: Eukaryota; Viridiplantae; Streptophyta; Magnoliopsida; Brassicales; Brassicaceae.